AACGAACGCUGGCGGCGUGCCUAACACAUGCAAGUCGAGCGGGAAAGUUCCCUUCGGGGGGCGAGUACAGCGGCGAACGGGUGAGUAACACGUAGGUAACCUACCCUUGAGACUAGGAUAACCUGCCGAAAGGCGGGCUAAUACUAGAUAAGACCGUGAGGGCUGCGGCCCUUGGGGCAAAAGGUGGCCUCUGCUUGCAAGCUACCACUUGAGGAUGGGCCUGCGCGCCAUUAGCUAGNGGUGAGGUAACGGCUCACCAAGGCUGGGAUGGCUAGCUGGUCUGAGAGGAUGGCCAGCCACACUGGGACUGAGACACGGCCCAGACUCCUACGGGAGGCAGCAGUGGGGAAUAUUGCGCAAUGGGCGAAAGCCUGACGCAGCGACGCCGCGUGGGUGAUGAAGG
RNAcentral lists this ribosomal RNA (403 nucleotides) under uncultured bacterium. RNAcentral's name for it is "bacterial SSU rRNA". It matches the Rfam family "Bacterial small subunit ribosomal RNA", at positions 29 to 414 of the family's 1533-position model. The record is from RNAcentral.